Molecule: ribosomal RNA, 468 nt
Filed under: uncultured bacterium
Lineage: Bacteria
Description: partial 16S ribosomal RNA
Rfam family: Bacterial small subunit ribosomal RNA
Source: RNAcentral
GACGAACGCUGGCGGCGUGCUUAACACAUGCAAGUCGAACGGAAAGGCCCUGCUUUUGUGGGGUGCUCGAGUGGCGAACGGGUGAGUAACACGUGAGUAACCUGCCCUUGACUUUGGGAUAACUUCAGGAAACUGGGGCUAAUACCGGAUAGGAGCUCCUGCUGCAUGGUGGGGGUUGGAAAGUUUCGGCGGUUGGGGAUGGACUCGCGGCUUAUCAGCUUGUUGGUGGGGUAGUGGCUUACCAAGGCUUUGACGGGUAGCCGGCCUGAGAGGGUUACCGGCGACAUUGGGACUAAGAUACGGCCCAGACUCCUACGGGAGGCAGCAGUGGGGAAUAUUGCACAGUGGGCGGAAGCCUGAUGCAGCAACGCCGCGUGCGGGAUGACGGCCUUCGGGUUGUAAACCGCUUUCGCCUGUGACGAAGCGUGAGUGACGGUAAUGGGUAAAGAAGCACCGGCUAACUACGUG